Molecule: non-coding RNA, 72 nt
Organism: Nematostella vectensis (starlet sea anemone)
Lineage: Eukaryota; Metazoa; Cnidaria; Anthozoa; Actiniaria; Edwardsiidae
Source: Rfam
GGUCCCAUGGUGUAAUUGUUAGCACUCUGGACUUUUAAUCCAGCGACCCGAGUUCAAAUCUCGGUUUGACCU